This 387-nucleotide ribosomal RNA is filed under the name Sebastes emphaeus (Puget Sound rockfish). RNAcentral's name for it is "partial 12S ribosomal RNA". It matches the Rfam family "Bacterial small subunit ribosomal RNA", at positions 794 to 1384 of the family's 1533-position model. Lineage: Eukaryota; Metazoa; Chordata; Actinopteri; Perciformes; Sebastidae. The record is from RNAcentral.
GCCUAGCCCUAAACCUUGGUAAUAUAUCACAUACCCUACCCGCCUGGGAACUACGAGCACCAGCUUAAAACCCAAAGGACUUGGCGGUGCUUUAGACCCCCCUAGAGGAGCCUGUUCUAGAACCGAUAACCCCCGUUCAACCUCACCCUUCCUUGUUUAUCCCGCCUAUAUACCGCCGUCGUCAGCUUACCCUGUGAAGGCCUAAAAGUAAGCACAACUGGUACAACCCAAAACGUCAGGUCGAGGUGUAGCGCAUGGAGGGGGAAGAAAUGGGCUACAUUCCCUAUAUUAGGGAACACGAACGGCGCACUGAAACACGCGCCCGAAGGAGGAUUUAGUAGUAAGCGGGAAAUAGAGUGUUCCGCUGAAAUCGGCCCUGAAGCGCGC